RNAcentral lists this ribosomal RNA (465 nucleotides) under uncultured bacterium. RNAcentral's name for it is "partial 16S ribosomal RNA". It matches the Rfam family "Bacterial small subunit ribosomal RNA", at positions 28 to 507 of the family's 1533-position model. The record is from RNAcentral.
GACGAACGCUGGCGGUGUGCUUAACACAUGCAAGUCGAACGGUAAGGCCCUUUCGGGGGUACACGAGUGGCGAACGGGUGAGUAACACGUGAGUAACCUGCCCUCAUCUCUGGGAUAACAGUCGGAAACGGUUGCUAAUACUGGAUAUGAGCUUGCAAGGCAUCUUGUGGGUUGGAAAGAUUUUUUUGGUUGGGGAUGGACUCGCGGCCUAUCAGCUUGUUGUGAGGUAGUGGCUCACCAAGGCUUCGACGGGUAGCCGGCCUGAGAGGGCGACCGGCCACAUUGGGACUGAGAUACGGCCCAAACUCCUACGGGAGGCAGCAGUGGGGAAUAUUGCACAAUGGACGGAAGUCUGAUGCAGCAACGCCGCGUGCGGGAUGACGGCCUUCGGGUUGUAAACCGCUUUCAAUUGUGACGAAGCUUUUUGUGACGGUAGCAGUAGAAGAAGCACCGGCUAACUACGUG